AUUAGAAACUCGUCUCAUGAUUAUAUUGACAAUGUGCAAAAUGUCCCAAAAUGAAUAUAGCAAGAAAAUAACUUCAAACACCAUAUCACAGCUACUGAAAUACAUUUUUUGUAAAUUCACAUUGCACUACUAAAACAUGAGUUAAGCAGCACCAAGAGAUGCUAGUAAUGGUUAAGGUGGAUGCUAGAGGUGGUUGUACUUGGCUUUGGUUGGUGCCAAUUUGCAAAGUUUCAACAGUUUCACUUCAGCUAAUCUUAGUGUUAAAGUUGAACCUGGAGAACGUCUUGCUGUUAACAAUAAAAACUCAGGAUUAAUUGUUGGAGUUAUAGUUGGCGUUCUAGUUUUCAUCGCCAUUGUUAUUAUUUUAGUUUUUUUAUUUUAUCG
This is a long non-coding RNA of Hydra vulgaris (swiftwater hydra), 384 nucleotides long. RefSeq lists it as uncharacterized. NCBI's taxonomy places the organism in Eukaryota, Metazoa, Cnidaria, Hydrozoa, Anthoathecata, Hydridae. The record is from RefSeq and is a predicted model, not a curated record.